AUUGAACGCUGGCGGCGUGCCUAAUACAUGCAAGUCGAGCGAAGCGGCGGAUGGGUGAGUAACGCGUGGGUAACCUGCCCUUAAGUCUGGGAUACCAUUUGGAAACAGAUGUUACUAACGGAUACUGAAGGAUGGACCUUCGAUGCAUUAGCUAGUGGGUAAGGUAACGGCUUACCAAGGCGAUGAUGCAUGGCCGGGUGUGGAGGCGAAUCGGCAACAUGGGGCCUGAGACACGGCCCAAACUCCAACGGGAGGCAGCAGUGGGGAAUAUUGCACAAUGGGCACAGGCCUGAUGCAGCCAGGCGGCGGGGAUGAGGAAGGCCUUCGGGUGGUAAGGUACGUUCAGCGAGGAGGCGGUACUCGCAGAAGAAGCACCGGCUAACUCCGUGCCAGCAGCCGCGGUAAUAC
Molecule: ribosomal RNA, 408 nt
Filed under: uncultured bacterium
Lineage: Bacteria
Description: partial 16S ribosomal RNA
Rfam family: Bacterial small subunit ribosomal RNA
Source: RNAcentral